GGAGGUGUAGCUCAGUGGUAGAGUACUUGUCCAGCAUGCAUGAGGCCUUGGGUUCAACUCCUAGUACUACAA
RNAcentral lists this transfer RNA (72 nucleotides) under Heterocephalus glaber (naked mole-rat). It matches the Rfam family "tRNA". Rfam says of the family: Transfer RNA (tRNA) molecules are approximately 80 nucleotides in length. Their secondary structure includes four short double-helical elements and three loops (D, anti-codon, and T loops). Lineage: Eukaryota; Metazoa; Chordata; Mammalia; Rodentia; Bathyergidae. The record is from Rfam by way of RNAcentral.